Molecule: ribosomal RNA, 464 nt
Filed under: Vreelandella stevensii
Lineage: Bacteria; Pseudomonadati; Pseudomonadota; Gammaproteobacteria; Oceanospirillales; Halomonadaceae
Description: partial 16S ribosomal RNA
Rfam family: Bacterial small subunit ribosomal RNA
Source: RNAcentral
CCUACGGGAGGCUGCAGUGGGGAAUAUUGGACAAUGGGCGAAAGCCUGAUCCAGCCAUGCCGCGUGUGUGAAGAAGGCCUUCGGGUUGUAAAGCACUUUCAGUGGGGAAGAAAGCCUUGGGGCUAAUACCCUCGAGGAAGGACAUCACCCACAGAAGAAGCACCGGCUAACUCCGUGCCAGCAGCCGCGGUAAUACGGAGGGUGCGAGCGUUAAUCGGAAUUACUGGGCGUAAAGCGCGCGUAGGCGGUCUGAUAAGCCGGUUGUGAAAGCCCCGGGCUCAACCUGGGAACGGCAUCCGGAACUGUCAGGCUAGAGUGCAGGAGAGGAAGGUAGAAUUCCCGGUGUAGCGGUGAAAUGCGUAGAGAUCGGGAGGAAUACCAGUGGCGAAGGCGGUCUUCUGGACUGACACUGACGCUGAGGUGCGAAAGCGUGGGUAGCAAACAGGAUUAGAUACCGUGUAGUC